GCUGGCGGCGUGCUUAACACAUGCAAGUCGAACGGAAAGGCCCUGCUUUUGUGGGGUGCUCGAGUGGCGAACGGGUGAGUAACACGUGAGUAACCUGCCCUUGACUUUGGGAUAACUUCAGGAAACUGGGGCUAAUACCGGAUAGGAGCUCCUGCCGCAUGGUGGGGGUUGGAAAGUUUCGGCGGUUGGGGAUGGACUCGCGGCUUAUCAGCUUGUUGGUGGGGUAGUGGCUUACCAAGGCUUUGACGGGUAGCCGGCCUGAGAGGGUGACCGGCCACAUCGGGACUGAGAUACGGCCCAGACUCCUACGGGAGGCAGCAGUGGGGAAUAUUGCACAAUGGGCGGAAGCCUGAUGCAGCAACGCCGCGUGCGGGAUGACGGCCUUCGGGUUGUAAACCGCUUUCGCCUGUGACGAAGCGUGAGUGACGGUAAUGGGUAAAGAAGCACCGGCUAACUACGUGCCAGCAGCCGCGGUGAUACGUAGGGUGCGAGCGUUGUCCGGAUUUAUUGGGCGUAAAGGGCUCGUAGGUGGUUGAUCGCGUCGGAAGUGUAAUCUUGGGGCUUAACCCUGAGCGUGCUUUCGAUACGGGUUGACUUGAGGAAGGUAGGGGAGAAUGGAAUUCCUGGUGGAGCGGUGGAAUGCGCAGAUAUCAGGAGGAACACCAGUGGCGAAGGCGGUUCUCUGGGCCUUUCCUGACGCUGAGGAGCGAAAGCGUGGGGAGCGAACAGGCUUAGAUACCCUGGUAGUCCACGCUGUAAACGGUGGGUACUAGGUGUGGGGUCCAUUCCACGGGUUCCGUGCCGUAGCUAACGCUUUAAGUACCCCGCCUGGGGAGUACGGCCGCAAGGCUAAAACUCAAAGGAAUUGACGGGGCCCCGCACAAGCGGCGGAGCAUGCGGAUUAAUUCGAUGCAACGCGUAGAACCUUACCUGGGUUUGACAUGGAUCGGGAGUGCUCAGAGAUGGGUGUGCCUCUUUUGGGGUCGGUUCACAGGUGGUGCAUGGCUGUCGUCAGCUCGUGUCGUGAGAUGUUGGGUUAAGUCCCGCAACGAGCGCAACCCUUGUUCACUGUUGCCAGCACGUUAUGGUGGGGACUCAGUGGAGACCGCCGGGGUCAACUCGGAGGAAGGUGGGGAUGACGUCAAGUCAUCAUGCCCCUUAUGUCCAGGGCUUCACGCAUGCUACAAUGGCUGGUACAGAGAGUGGCGAGCCUGUGAGGGUGAGCGAAUCUCGGAAAGCCGGUCUCAGUUCGGAUUGGGGUCUGCAACUCGACCUCAUGAAGUCGGAGUCGCUAGUAAUCGCAGAUCAGCAACGCUGCGGUGAAUACGUUCCCGGGGCUUGUACACACCGCCCGUCAAGUCAUGAAAGUUGGUAACACCCGAAGCCGGUGGCCUAACCGUUGUGGGGGAGCCGUCGAAGGUGGGACUGGUGAUUAGGAC
RNAcentral lists this ribosomal RNA (1439 nucleotides) under uncultured organism. Its description in RNAcentral is "partial small subunit ribosomal RNA". It matches the Rfam family "Bacterial small subunit ribosomal RNA". The record is from RNAcentral.